Molecule: ribosomal RNA, 793 nt
Filed under: uncultured Rubrobacter sp.
Lineage: Bacteria; Bacillati; Actinomycetota; Rubrobacteria; Rubrobacterales; Rubrobacteraceae
Description: bacterial SSU rRNA
Rfam family: Bacterial small subunit ribosomal RNA
Source: RNAcentral
AGAGUUUGAUCCUGGCUCAGGACGAACGCUGGCGGCGUGCUUAACACAUGCAAGUCGAACGCUGAUCCAUCUUCGGGUGGGGAGACCGGCGAACGGGUGAGUAACACGUGAGGAACCUGCCCUGUAGACCGGAAUAACCACGGGAAACUGUGGCUAAUGCCGGAUGUUCUCUGCAGCCCGCAUGGAUUGCAGAGGAAAUGGUCUGCCGCUACAGGAUGGCCUCGCGGCCUAUCAGCUUGUUGGUGGGGUAAUGGCCCACCAAGGCGACGAUGCGUAGCUGGUCUGAGAGGAUGAUCAGCCACACUGGGACUGAGACACGGCCCAGACUCCUACGGGAGGCAGCAGCCAGGAAUCUUGGGCAAUGGGCGAAAGCCUGACCCAGCAACACCGUGUGGGUGACGAAGGCCUUAGGGUCGUAAAGCCCUGUUGAUAGGGACGAAGGGCGAAGGGUUAAUAGCCCCUAGCUUGACGGUACCUUUCGAGGAAGCCCCGGCUAACUACGUGCCAGCAGCCGCGGUAAUACGUAGGGGGCGAGCGUUGUCCGGAAUUAUUGGGCGUAAAGAGCGUGUAGGCGGUUCGGUAAGUCUGCUGUGAAAUCCUGGGGCUCAACCCUGGGCGUGCAGCGGAUACUGCCGGGCUAGAGGGUGGUAGAGGCGAGUGGAAUUCCGAGUGUAGCGGUGAAAUGCGCAGAUAUUCGGAGGAACACCAGUAGCGAAGGCGGCUCGCUGGGCCACACCUGACGCUGAGACGCGAAAGCGUGGGGAGCGAACAGGAUUAGAUACCCCAGUAGUCC